This 175-nucleotide ribosomal RNA is filed under the name uncultured Thermovirga sp. RNAcentral describes it as "partial 16S ribosomal RNA". It matches the Rfam family "Bacterial small subunit ribosomal RNA", at positions 1210 to 1382 of the family's 1533-position model. The record is from RNAcentral. Lineage: Bacteria; Thermotogati; Synergistota; Synergistia; Synergistales; Thermovirgaceae.
AGGGCGACACACGUGCUACAAUGGCCGGCACAGCGGGAAGCGAGGGGCGACCUUGAGCGGAUACCCUCAAAGCCGGUCUCAGUUCGGAUUGCAGUCUGCAACUCGACUGCAUGAAGUUGGAAUCGCUAGUAAUCGUGGAUCAGCCAAGCCGCGGUGAAUACGGUUCCCGGGCCUU